AAAAAAACAAUAUAUUAACAUACACUAUUUAAUAAAAAGGUGCAAAGGAAGACUAAACGUAUUAAGUUUUAAAUGGUUUAAAUGUUUGUUUUUUUUAAAAAUAAAUAAAAGAAGAGAAUGUGAGAGAAACGGUAACAAAACCCAGAAAUGUUCGUCUUCCUCACUAACGACAUCCUCCAUUCUCUCAAUCUCUCGACCUCAACCUCU
This 207-nucleotide long non-coding RNA is filed under the name Lathyrus oleraceus (garden pea). RNAcentral's name for it is "Pisum sativum (pea) long non-coding RNA (PSAT_LNC038268)". Lineage: Eukaryota; Viridiplantae; Streptophyta; Magnoliopsida; Fabales; Fabaceae. The record is from RNAcentral.